UUGGUAACCAGUUUAUAAUAGCAAUAAGGCACCUUGGCCAUGGUAUAUUAGCCAUAUACCACACCUCUGGCCUUAUUGCAUAAUUAUACCCUGUUAUCUGUCAUCUUCAAAUGAUUAACUUUCUUUGUCACAAAAUAUAUUUCUAGCUUUAGCUUUAUAUAUGAAUGGAUUCUAACUCCGUAUACAACACUGUAUUGUCAUAGGGAGUUGAAGUCAUGAGUAACAGUGAUGCAUUUUGAAAACAUUCCAUACCCAGUCAAAUGCAUUCCUGACAUUUUAAUGUGGCCUGUCAUAAUGAAAUCUGAAAUGUUAUCUUUGCACAGAUGUAUGUAUCUGUUGCUCCUCAACAUACACAUUCUCCUCUCAGUCCUUGUGUAAUGAUUGCACAGUGAGAUCAAUGGAAGGUUUCUAUAGCGUUGGAAGUGUUGUCUAAUUUCUUUGUUGAGUGAGAGGGCUGGAUAAAGUAUUACUAACCCAUUAAUUUUAAAGUCCUGCAAAUAAGAGCUAUAGAAAUCUCUCACCCUCUUAUGCCGUUAAACCGUCAUAUACAGUGAAUAGCAUACCGACGGUGCCACAAUAUGACCAUUCCAUUCACAUGCUUUACCUAAGCAUUCAAUAGUUAGGCAGGGAUUUUAAGUGCUUGUAUUUGAGGUCCGAUAGUAAGAAGUCUUCUGUAUCGUCCAUGUUAGAGACUUGAAAUGUUGUGCCUAAGUGUAUCUAUCUAGCAAAUGAAAUCCUGUUGCCUCAAUACAUUUAACACACUUCUUUUAGCCUGAGGUUUUCCUCUAUUUUUUUGUGCUCUGCAAAUUACUAAUCUAUAGCCCCUUUCCCCAAAACGGAAAUAAAUUGAUGCCAAAUGCA
Molecule: long non-coding RNA, 861 nt
Organism: Coregonus clupeaformis (lake whitefish)
Lineage: Eukaryota; Metazoa; Chordata; Actinopteri; Salmoniformes; Salmonidae
Exons: 2
Source: RefSeq, a predicted model, not a curated record